UACAGAGGGUGCAAGCGUUAAUCGGAUUUACUGGGCGUAAAGCGUGUGUAGGAGGUUUGUUAAGUCAAUUGUGAAAUCCCCGGGCUCAACCUGGGAAUUGCAGUCGAUACUGGCAGACUAGAGUACGGUAGAGGGUGGCGGAAUUUCCGGUGUAGCGGUGAAAUGCGUAGAUAUCGGAAGGAACAUCAAUGGCGAAGGCAGCCACCUGGGCCUGUACUGACUCUGAGACACGAAAGCGUGGGGAUCAAACAGG
This 253-nucleotide ribosomal RNA is filed under the name uncultured bacterium. RNAcentral's name for it is "partial 16S ribosomal RNA". It matches the Rfam family "Bacterial small subunit ribosomal RNA", at positions 524 to 776 of the family's 1533-position model. The record is from RNAcentral.